RNAcentral lists this ribosomal RNA (465 nucleotides) under uncultured bacterium. RNAcentral describes it as "partial 16S ribosomal RNA". It matches the Rfam family "Bacterial small subunit ribosomal RNA", at positions 339 to 795 of the family's 1533-position model. The record is from RNAcentral.
CUACGGGGUGCACCAGUGAGGAAUAUUGCGCAAUGGGGGAAACCCUGACGCAGCGACGCCGCGUGGAUGAUGAAGGCCUUAGGGUCGUAAAAUCCUGUCAGGUGGGAAGAAGUGGAUAUAGAUUAAUACUCUAUUUCUUUGACGGUACCACCAAAGGAAGCACCGGCUAACUCCGUGCCAGCAGCCGCGGUAAUACGGAGGGUGCAAACGUUGUUCGGAAUUACUGGGCGUAAAGCGCGCGUAGGCGGUUUGUUAAGUCAGAUGUGAAAGUCCAUGGCUCUACUAUGGAAGUGCAUUUGAAACUGGCAGACUUGAGUACUGGAGGGGGUGAUGGAAUUCCCGGUGUAGAGGUGAAAUUCGUAGAUAUCGGGAGGAAUACCGGUGGCGAAGGCGAUCACCUGGCCAGAUACUGACGCUGAGGUGCGAAAGCGUGGGGAGCAAACAGGAUUAGAUACCCGCGUAGUC